CCUACGGGAGGCAGCAGUGGGGAAUAUUGGGCAAUGGGCGCAAGCCUGACCCAGCAACGCCGCGUGAAGGAAGAAGGCUUUCGGGUUUUAAACUUCUUUUGUCAGGGACGAAGCCCGUGACGGUACCUGACGAAUAAGCCACGGCUAACUACGUGCCAGCAGCCGCGUUAAUACGUAGGUGGCAAGCGUUAUCCGGAUUUACUGGGUGUAAAGGGCGUGUAGGCGGGACUGCAAGUCAGAUGUGAAAACCACGGGCGCAACCUGUGGCCUGCAGUUGAAACUGUAGUUCUUGAGUGCUGGAGAGGCAGACGGAAUUCCUGGUGUAGCGGUGAAAUGCGUAGAUAUUAGGAGGAACACCAGUGGCGAAGGCGGUCUGCUGGACAGCAACUGACGCUGAGGCGCGAAAGCGUGGGGAGCAAACAGGAUUAGAUACCCUGGUAGUC
This 443-nucleotide ribosomal RNA is filed under the name uncultured bacterium. RNAcentral describes it as "partial 16S ribosomal RNA". It matches the Rfam family "Bacterial small subunit ribosomal RNA", at positions 338 to 795 of the family's 1533-position model. The record is from RNAcentral.